UGGGCGUCGAGCGGCGGACGGGUGAGUAAUGCCUAGGAAAUUGCCUUGAUGUGGGGAUAACCAUUGGAAACGAUGGCUAAUACCGCAUAAUGCCUACGGGCCAAGAGGGGGACCUUCGGGCCUCUCGCGUCAAGAUAUGCCUAGGUGGGAUUAGCUAGUUGGUGAGGUAAUGGCUCACCAAGGCGACGAUCCCUAGCUGGUCUGAGAGGAUGAUCAGCCACACUGGAACUGAGACACGGUCCAGACUCCGUACGGGAGGCAGCAGUGGGGAAUAUUGCACAAUGGGCGAAAGCCUGAUGCAGCCAUGCCGCGCGUAUGAAGAAGGCCUUCGGGUUGUAAAGUACUUUCAGUUGUGAGGAAGGGGGUAACGUUAAUAGCGUUAUCUCUUGACGUUAGCAACAGAAGAAGCACCGGCUAACUCCGUGCCAGCAGCCGCGGUAAUACGGAGGGUGCGAGCGUUAAUCGGAAUUACUGGGCGUAAAGCGCAUGCAGGUGGUUCAUUAAGUCAGAUGUGAAAGCCCGGGGCUCAACCUCGGAACUGCAUUUGAAACUGGUGAACUAGAGUGCUGUAGAGGGGGGUAGAAUUUCAGUGUAGCGGUGAAAUGCGUAGAGAUCUGAAGGAAUACCAGUGGCGAAGGCGGCCCCCUGGACAGACACUGACACUCAGAUUGCGAAAAGCGUGGGGGAGCAAAACAGGAUUUAGAUACCCUGGGUAGUCCACGCCGUUAAACGAUGGUCUACUUGGAGGGUUGGUGGCCCUUGAGCCGUGGCUUUUGGGAGGCUAACGCGUUAAGUAGACCGCCUGGGGGAGUACGGUUCGCAAGAUUAAAAACUCAAAUGAAUUGACGGGGGGGCCA
RNAcentral lists this ribosomal RNA (857 nucleotides) under uncultured bacterium. RNAcentral's name for it is "bacterial SSU rRNA". It matches the Rfam family "Bacterial small subunit ribosomal RNA", at positions 85 to 924 of the family's 1533-position model. The record is from RNAcentral.